This 498-nucleotide ribosomal RNA is filed under the name uncultured organism. RNAcentral describes it as "eukaryotic LSU rRNA". The stretch from base 120 to 273 matches the Rfam family "5.8S ribosomal RNA". The record is from RNAcentral.
UGAAUUAUUCACCCUUGUCUUUUGCGUACUUCUUGUUUCCUUGGUGGGUUCGCCCACCACUAGGACAAACAUAAACCUUUUGUAAUUGCAAUCAGCGUCAGUAACAAAUUAAUAAUUACAACUUUCAACAACGGAUCUCUUGGUUCUGGCAUCGAUGAAGAACGCAGCGAAAUGCGAUAAGUAGUGUGAAUUGCAGAAUUCAGUGAAUCAUCGAAUCUUUGAACGCACAUUGCGCCCUUUGGUAUUCCAAAGGGCAUGCCUGUUCGAGCGUCAUUUGUACCCUCAAGCUUUGCUUGGUGUUGGGCGUCUUGUCUCUAGCUUUGCUGGAGACUCGCCUUAAAGUAAUUGGCAGCCGGCCUACUGGUUUCGGAGCGCAGCACAGGGCGCACUCUCUAUCAGCAAAGGUCUAGCAUCCAUUAAGCCUUUUUUUCAACUUUUGACCUCGGAUCAGGUAAGGGUACCCGCUGAACUUAAGCAUAUCAAUAAGCGGAGGAAAUA